AGAGUUUGAUCAUGGCUCAGAACGUACGCUGGCGGCACGCCUAACACAUGCAAGUCGAACGAAGUAGCAAUACUUAGUGGCAGACGGGUGAGUAACAUGUAGGUAUCUGCCCUUUGGCCUGGAAUAACACGAGGAAACUUGUGCUAAUACCGGAUAAGUCUUUACGGAGAAAGCUUUAUGCACCAUUGGAUGAGCCUGCACUUGAUUAGUUUGUUGGUGGGGUAAUGGCCUACCAAGACUGUGAUCAAUAGCUGAUUUGAGAGGAUGAUCAGCCACAUUGGGACUGAGACACGGCCCAAACUCCUACGGGAGGCAGCAGUGGGGAAUCUUGCACAAUGGAGGAAACUCUGAUGCAGCGAUGCCGCGUGAGUGAAGAAGGCCCUUGGGUUGUAAAGCUCUUUCGUCGGGGAAGAAAAUGACUGUACCCGAAUAAGAAGGUCCGGCUAACUUCGUGCCAGCAGCCGCGGUAAUACGAAGGGACCUAGCGUAGUUCGGAAUUACUGGGCUUAAAGAGUUCGUAGGUGGUUGAAAAAGUUAGUGGUGAAAUCCCAGAGCUUAACUCUGGAACUGCCAUUAAAACUUUUCAGCUAGAGUAUGAUAGAGGAAAGCAGAAUUUCUAGUGUAGAGGUGAAAUUCGUAGAUAUUAGAAAGAAUACCAAUUGCGAAGGCAGCUUUCUGGAUCAUUACUGACACUGAGGAACGAAAGCAUGGGUAGCGAAGAGGAUUAGAUACCCUCGUAGUCCAUGCCGUAAACGAUGUGUGUUAGACGUUGGAAAUUUAUUUUCAGUGUCGCAGCGAAAGCGAUAAACACACCGCCUGGGGAGUACGACCGCAAGGUUAAAACUCAAAUGAAUUGACGGGGACCCGCACAAGUAGUGGAGCAUGUGGUUUAAUUCGAAGAUACGCGCAGAACCUUACCAACACUUGACAUGUUCGUCGCGACUCUAAGAGAUUAGAGUUUUCGGUUCGGCCGGACGAAACACAGGUGCUGCAUGGCUGUCGUCAGCUCGUGUCGUGAGAUGUUGGGUUAAGUCCCGCAACGAGCGCAACCCUCACUUUUAGUUGCCAUCAUUAAGUUGGGCACUCUGAAAGAACUGCCAGUGAUAAGCUGGAGGAAGGUGGGGAUGA
Molecule: ribosomal RNA, 1128 nt
Filed under: marine metagenome
Description: bacterial SSU rRNA
Rfam family: Bacterial small subunit ribosomal RNA
Source: RNAcentral